This 1982-nucleotide ribosomal RNA is filed under the name Klebsiella pneumoniae. Its description in RNAcentral is "bacterial LSU rRNA". It matches the Rfam family "Bacterial large subunit ribosomal RNA", at positions 1 to 1977 of the family's 2925-position model. Lineage: Bacteria; Pseudomonadati; Pseudomonadota; Gammaproteobacteria; Enterobacterales; Enterobacteriaceae. The record is from RNAcentral.
AGAUUAAGUUAUUAAGGGCGCACGGUGGAUGCCUUGGCACUAGAAGCCGAAGAAGGACGUUACUAACGACGAUAUGCUUUGGGGAGCUGUAAGUACGCUUUGAUCCAGAGAUUUCCGAAUGGGGAAACCCAGCAUGAGUUAUGUCAUGUUAUCCGCAUAUGAAUACAUAGUAUGUGAGAAGGCACACCCGGAGAACUGAAACAUCUUAGUACCCGGAGGAAGAGAAAGAAAACUCGAUUCCCUGAGUAGCGGCGAGCGAAACGGGAAGAGCCCAAACCAAUAGGCUUGCCUAUUGGGGUUGUAGGACACUCAAUACGGAGUUACAAAGGAAAUGAUUAGACGAAUGGUUUUGGAAAAGCCAACCAUAGAAGGUAAAGGUCCUGUAGUCGAAAGUCAUUUCUCUCCUGAGUGGAUCCUGAGUACGGCGGAACACGUGAAAUUCCGUCGGAAUCUGGGAGGACCAUCUCCCAAGGCUAAAUACUCUCUAGUGACCGAUAGUGAACCAGUACCGUGAGGGAAAGGUGAAAAGCACCCCGGAAGGGGAGUGAAAUAGAACCUGAAACCGUGUGCUUACAAAUAGUCAGAGCCCGUUAAUGGGUGAUGGCGUGCCUUUUGUAGAAUGAACCGGCGAGUUACGAUUUGAUGCAAGGUUAAGCAGUAAAUGUGGAGCCGUAGCGAAAGCGAGUCUGAAUAGGGCGAAUGAGUAUCUGGUCGUAGACCCGAAACCAAGUGAUCUACCCAUGUCCAGGUUGAAGUUCAGGUAACACUGAAUGGAGGACCGAACCGACUUACGUUGAAAAGUGAGCGGAUGAGGUGUGGGUAGCGGAGAAAUUCCAAUCGAACUUGGAGAUAGCUGGUUCUCUCCGAAAUAGCUUUAGGGCUAGCCUCAAGUGAUGAUUAUUGGAGGUAGAGCACUGUUUGGACGAGGGGCCCCUCUCGGGUUACCGAAUUCAGACAAACUCCGAAUGCCAAAUAAUUUAACUUGGGAGUCAGACUAUGGGUGAUAAGGUCCGUAGUCGAAAGGGAAACAGCCCAGACCACCAGCUAAGGUCCCAAAAUAUAUGUUAAGUGGAAAAGGAUGUGGCGUUGCCCAGACAACUAGGAUGUUGGCUUAGAAGCAGCCAUCAUUUAAAGAGUGCGUAAUAGCUCACUAGUCGAGUGACACUGCGCCGAAAAUGUACCGGGGCUAAACAUAUUACCGAAGCUGUGGAUUAUCCGUAAGGAUAAUGGUAGGAGAGCGUUCUAAACGUGUCGAAGCAUGAUCGUAAGGACAUGUGGAAUGUUUAGAAGUGAGAAUGCCGGUGUGAGUAGCGAAAGAUGGGUGAGAAUCCCAUCCACCGAUUGACUAAGGUUUCCAGAGGAAGGCUCGUCCGCUCUGGGUUAGUCGGGACCUAAGCCGAGGCCGAUAGGCGUAGGCGAUGGAUAACAGGUAGAUAUUCCUGUACCACCUAUGAUUGUUUGAACGAUGGGGGGACGCAGUAGGAUAGGCGAAGCGUGCUGUUGGAGUGCACGUCCAAGCAAUAAGACUGAGUGUUAGGCAAAUCCGGCACUCGUAAGGUUGAGUUGUGAUGGGGAGUUGGAUCAUGUAUCCGACGAGUCGUUGAUUUCACACUGCCAAGAAAAGCCUCUAGUUAGAAAAUAGGUGCCCGUACCGCAAACCGACACAGGUAGUCAAGAUGAGAAUUCUAAGGUGAGCGAGCGAACUCUCGUUAAGGAACUCGGCAAAAUGACCCCGUAACUUCGGGAGAAGGGGUGCUUUUUAGGGUGCAAGCCUUGAAGAGCCGCAGUGAAUAGGCCCAAGCGACUGUUUAUCAAAAACACAGGUCUCUGCUAAACCGUAAGGUGAUGUAUAGGGGCUGACGCCUGCCCGGUGCUGGAAGGUUAAGAGGAGUGGUUAGCUUCUGCGAAGCUACGAAUCGAAGCCCCAGUAAACGGCGGCCGUAACUAUAACGGUCCUAAGGUAGCGAAAUUCCUUGUCGGGU